UCCCCGAUGUUGAACUACCCAGACUCUAU
RNAcentral lists this non-coding RNA (29 nucleotides) under Rattus norvegicus (Norway rat). The record is from RNAcentral. Lineage: Eukaryota; Metazoa; Chordata; Mammalia; Rodentia; Muridae.